This 544-nucleotide long non-coding RNA is filed under the name Oryctolagus cuniculus (rabbit). RNAcentral describes it as "lncRNA (ENSOCUG00000031361.1)". Lineage: Eukaryota; Metazoa; Chordata; Mammalia; Lagomorpha; Leporidae. The record is from RNAcentral.
GCAAUUUAGGAAGGGGCAGAAGGGUAGUUCACAAGACUACCACAAGAGGGCAUGCUGGCCAAGACUUUGAGUCUGUAGCGGGUCCGUGGCUUUUUGAAAAAGGAGCAAGAGGGGGACUUCCCUGUAAAGGAACAUGCCUCUGUACACUGUAAGAUGUGUCUAUUCUGCUUCUAACUUUCACCUUGUUUUGUUUCUUAGUUUUAACAGUUUUAUGUUAUUUAUUUGAGGGGGUAGGAGAGAAAGAGAGCAAGCUCCAAUUUGCUGAUCUGCUGGUUAAGCCCCCAAAUGCCUGCAUUAGAGAGGGAUGGGGACCUGGGACUCAUGCUCAGAAAUGAGGACUCCAUCCAGAUCUCUCGAGCAGGUAGCGUGACCCAGUUUCUUACGCCAGCACCACUGCCUCCUGAAGUUCGUAUUCUCAGGGAGCUACAGCAGGAGUUGGUAUCAUACCCAGGAACUCUGAUGUGGGGCACAGUGGAAACUAAAAUUCCUGCUAUUCCAAGAGGAAGAAGCAGGAGGAAAUACUUGUUUGAACUUGAAGAAGACA